RNAcentral lists this ribosomal RNA (364 nucleotides) under uncultured Erysipelothrix sp. Its description in RNAcentral is "bacterial SSU rRNA". It matches the Rfam family "Bacterial small subunit ribosomal RNA", at positions 1017 to 1382 of the family's 1533-position model. Lineage: Bacteria; Bacillati; Bacillota; Erysipelotrichia; Erysipelotrichales; Erysipelotrichaceae. The record is from RNAcentral.
AAAUAGUUAUGCCGGAUACAGGUGGUGCAUGGUUGUCGUCAGCUCGUGUCGUGAGAUGUUGGGUUAAGUCCCGCAACGAGCGCAACCCUUGUCUUCAGUUACCAUCAUUCAGUUGGGGACUCUGGAGAGACUGCCGGUGACAAACCGGAGGAAGGUGGGGAUGACGUCAAAUCAUCAUGCCCCUUAUGACCUGGGCUACACACGUACUACAAUGGCGUAUACAACGGGAAGCGAAAUGGUGACAUGGAGCAAAUCUCACAAAGUACGUCUCAGUUCGGAUUGAAGUCUGCAACUCGACUUCAUGAAGUCGGAAUCGCUAGUAAUCGCGGAUCAGCAUGCCGCGGUGAAUACGUUCUCGGGCCUU